Molecule: ribosomal RNA, 253 nt
Filed under: uncultured bacterium
Lineage: Bacteria
Description: partial 16S ribosomal RNA
Rfam family: Bacterial small subunit ribosomal RNA
Source: RNAcentral
UACGUAGGGCGCAAGCGUUGUCCGGAGUUACUGGGCGUAAAGGGCGUGUAGGCGGUAUGCUAAGUCUGGCGUGAAAGCUCUCGGCUAAACCGGGAGAGGUCGUUUGAUACUGGCAAACUAGAGGAUGGUAGAGGCGUGUGGAAUUCCGGGUGUAGUGGUGAAAUGCGUAGAGAUCGGGAGGAACACCCGUGGCGAAGGCGGCCAGCUGGGGUGCACCUGACACUGAGGCGCGAAGGCGUGGGGAGCGAACGGG